AGGAACCUUACCUGGGCUCGAACGUAAGAUGACUGUAGGUGAAAGCUUACAUCUCUUCGGAGCAUUUUACGAGGUGCUGCAUGGUUGUCGUCAGCUCGUGCCGUGAGGUGUCGGGUUAAGUCCCAUAACGAGCGCAACCCCUACCUUUAGUUGCCAUCAGGUAAUGCUGGGGACUCUAAAGGAACUGCCUACGCAAGUAGUGAGGAAGCGGGGAUGACGUCAAAUCAGCACGGCCCUUACGUCCAGGGCUACACACGUGCUACAAUGGCCGAUACAGAGGGCAGCUACCUGGUGACAGGAUGCAAAUCUCCAAAGUCGGUCUCAGUUCGGAUCGGAGUCUGCAACCCGACUCCGUGAAGUUGGAUUCGCUAGUAAUCGCGCAUCCAGCCAUGGCGACGGUGAAUACGUUCCCGGGCCGUU
RNAcentral lists this ribosomal RNA (420 nucleotides) under uncultured Sphingobacteriales bacterium. Its description in RNAcentral is "bacterial SSU rRNA". It matches the Rfam family "Bacterial small subunit ribosomal RNA", at positions 964 to 1382 of the family's 1533-position model. The record is from RNAcentral. Lineage: Bacteria; Pseudomonadati; Bacteroidota; Sphingobacteriia; Sphingobacteriales.